This is a long non-coding RNA of Homalodisca vitripennis (glassy-winged sharpshooter), 874 nucleotides long. RefSeq lists it as uncharacterized. The transcript has 2 exons. The record is from RefSeq and is a predicted model, not a curated record. NCBI's taxonomy places the organism in Eukaryota, Metazoa, Arthropoda, Insecta, Hemiptera, Cicadellidae.
CCUUCUUCCGGGAUGACUUUGAGAUGUAGUGCCCUAAUUCUUCCUCAUGGAUCUCGAUAGGAGGCAGCGCAAAGGUUCUUACAGGACUAAGUGCAAUUUAUAAGCUUCUUGUAAUCAACAACUAGAGGUUUCCUUGUCAAACUGUGAACUGGACUCUUCAAGAAAUUGUCUUAUUUCACUUUUGUUAUUGUGACUAUACACAAUGAAACACACUUGACAGUAAUAAAAACAAGCUAAUAUUUUGAUGUAAACAUGUGCUCUCAACAUAGUACCAAAGUUGUACACCAGGCUGAGACACUUGUCAAGCAGCACUUCAGUCAUUGUAGUACUGAAAAUAGCCACCAGAGAGCAGUCAAUGUUUCAUAGGCAGGAAAUGAUAAACAAUAACCAGAAUGUGUCUAAAACGUUUUAACACAAGAGUAGCAGUGAAGGCACAAUGUGUUAAAACGAGCGCUGAAGGCACUCGACUUGCCGUAUUUCUCAGCAGUUAAGGGGUUAAUUUAAGCAAAUUUCUACUUCAAAAUAAAUAUUUGCCAGUGUCUAGUUGAAGUGUAGACCCAGCUAAAUACAUAUUUUUAAAAGACAAUCCCUGUUGUAAAAUAUUUCUGUGUUUAUACACUUUAAUUCUGUGUUUCAACUUGAAGUAUCUACUUUAGGUUUAAGGUCUUGCCAUUACCCCUUUCCAGUUCUUAAUCUCAAAAUAAAUGUAAUGUUGGUUCAUGUUUUCUAGGGAAAUAACGUUAUAUAUAAAUGGUGUUUGUUUUCUCAAGACAAUAAUACAUGUAAGGUGUAUGUUUUUCUGUGGGAGAAUGGAUUGUCUCAAAGCGGUUGCAUUGUUCAUUACAAGCAAUAAAUCUGUUGUUAACAGAGCCCA